CAGAGAGGUUUUACCAGUUAACAAAGAGAGCUAUGAUAAGGCAGCAUAAUUUUUCAGGAAGCAGAUGGCUCCAAAGAGGAUCCAGGAAGAAACUAGUGCCUAAAUCCCUUUAACAUUUUUGUUUGAAUAUUUAUGCUCAGAAGAAGGUAGUGCAACCCCAUGGCAGUCUAGACCAAAGAAUAUAUGACUUAUCUCUAGGAAAUAAUAGGUUUUUCAUUAUCUGCUACUAUGGCUACAUAUAUGCAGGCUACAUAUUUAUAUAGACAGAGCAGAGGAGGGGGCCCUUAUAUUUUCUAAUUGUAAACAUUCAUGCUUAUCAGGAUGGUGUUUCCAUGGCUCACUUCUCUUUGCUCCAAAAGAGGACCCUUACUAGGAUGGCUAAUUUGUCAGCAGAAUUGAGAAAUGUGAGAUAAAGACAGACAAAAUUUAUCAAAAAUAUAUUCCUAGUGGCACAGAAGUUCUGGAGGGGUGGUAUAUUCUACAUACCACUCAGGGAUUGAGACUUAGCCAAUUUUAUAUGAUCUGUCUACAACUGGAUAAGUAGUAAUUUCUUCAGGAAGUGGUCUUUGGCAUUAAAGUUGGAGUUAACACCUGCUUAUAGAAACCAACUUAAAAACAAAUAAACUAAUAAAAACGAAAACCUUGGGGUUGAAGAAGUUUUUCUCAAACUUGAAGGGACACCUAUGACAGGUGUUAAGUUGUUAAAAUGUUUAUCCAUGUCUCCAGAUUUCUGCAUGAAAUACCCAAAAGUAACAGUAAAUUAUUCAAUAGAGACAGUGGUGUAACUUCUAAAGCUUAUGCUGGAUAUGAUGCAGUAUCAAAACUACAGAUAUCUUCAGAAGUUUAGACAUCCAUCAAAAGACUUUAAAAUGGGUUUGAACAAAAUUAUAGGAUUCUUUUAAGAAUGGUCCAUCUCUAUGAAAGAGUUUAAGGGGAACAAUGGGACCAUUGCCCUAUAAGGUUAUGCAAGGCAUAUUACUGUCUCAGUGGGUGGCUAUGUACUUGCAAGAAAUUGAGCAAACAUUUAUAACAUAGAUUUGCAUAUUAAAUUAUUGAAUACCCACUGCAAAGCAGGAGAAACAUUCAAGAUGUGCAUGUUGGUGCUGGAAAUGUUACUGAGCCCAAGUUCAUAUUGCUUGCUGCACAACAGGCCAAUAAAUCCAGAGGCUAGUUGCUGGGGCAAAGGACAGCGACAUUAUUUGGAAAGCCAGCAGACCAAGAUGUGGUGGAUUGGUAUCCCAAAGAACCAUCUUCCUUGACUUAGAAUUCAGACUUCUUUUAUACUAAAAGGGGAGGGGAUGAAGUCUGGGUUCCAGUCAGACCCCAGAGGGGAUGUGUUAAUUUCUUCCUUCCUGCAGCCAUUCAUAGGCAUGAUCAAGAUGUUUCCUGUGAGCUAAACAAAGGUAUUUUAGUUUAAUGCUUGUUACAUGGGAGGAAGAGUUCUCAGAGAUGGCCCUUUAUGCAUAAUUUAGAUUUAUAGGCAACAUAUCUUCAGUGAUUAAUUUGUAGCAAAAGCAAUAGAAUACAAAAGUUAAAGUAAAAGAAACAGAUCCAGUAUGGAGUGAGAUUUAUUCUUCUCUAUUACAGAGACAAUGAAACUGCAAGUAGGAGAGAGAAGGGGACUGUAAUCAAGAGCAGCAUAUCAGACCCCUGCCUCCUUCCUACCCCUCUCCUAGAGAAAAUGUCAACAGGGACUGUCCCUUGUUUGAUGCAAUGGGAAAAUAUACAGUUCUUGCAAGCACAUAGCCACCCACUGAGACACUGAUACAAGCUUUGAAUCAGCUACAGGGCAAUGUUUCCAACAUUCCCCUUAAACUCCUUCAUAGAGAUGGACUAUUCUUAUUGCCAUUGUUUCCACUGAAAAUAGAUCUGGUCCUCAAUCUUAUGGGAGGGUAGGCAGAAGGUGGGAGCUUCAUUCUGAGAGGACCCUCCUCUACUAAAUAGUUACAUGAGGAGGGGUCAACAAAAGCAAUGGAUACUAUUGUUCUACUUUUAAAGGGGUAAGUGAGUCAGAAGAGGAUUUUUAAACUAAAGGGAGACAGAAGAAAGAAGAAAACUAACUGGGCAAAGAAGAUAACCUAAAAUGCCUGCUCCUAUGUGUGACUUGGUUUUAUGAUCUUGUUGGUUGCGAUUCACAGAUAAAUGGGAUCUUUGUCAGGGCCAGGUCCAGAAGGAUGACUUUCAACUUGAAAAGUCUUUGAUUCUAGCUUAAAAUUUAAUAUUACAGAAAUUUCCAAUGGUCAUAUCAAGGUGCAUUGUUCAAUUUAAGAGUACACCUUUUAAUAACGUGAAUAAUUCAGGGGCAUAUAUAUGGUGUAUAUACCAGCAGUCUUAUUUGCUUUCUAGUGCUCUUGAUUUAUGUAGGUUUAUAGUUUUCAAAGAAUUUAGGCAUUAUGGUCUUGUUGCUUUGUGAUAAUUAAAACCUUAUAACUUUGCCCUACUGGUUACUGGUUUUACUACUAGAGUUGGAUUUCGAUAAUCACACUCCUACCUUCAAAACGCACAGCCCAUUGCCUCAGGUGAUAAAGUUCCUACUGGAGCAGAAGGGAAUAUCACCCACCAGACAAGAUCCUUGGAUCUCAGGAAGCAUAGUCUUUGUGAAAGGACUCCCUCUCACCCAGAAGAGCAGAGAAUAACUUGAAGGCACAUGCCAUUUUGGAAUAAAGAGUGUAGCCCUAUGCCUUAGUUAAGUCAGUGCUGUUUGUGGUCACAGAUAAAGCCCCAAAUGUCAGUAGUCUAAAACAGAUGAAACUCAUUUAUUUUUUAAGGAGUCCAAAAUUCAUAGUUAUGUAUUCAUAUUGGUUCAUACCCGAUCAUAAGAAUCAACUAGUAAAUUUUCAGGAAUUGUACAAGCUAUUUUUUAAUCAGCUAUUAUUAAAUAAUAAAUUAUGCACUUAAAAUUAAAUAAAUUAGUAUGUUAAAAACAAAGGUAAUAAUCAAAAUCAUGCCACACCGUCACUUUACUUUUAUCUAUGUUCUACAAGUUAUUAACUUCUCUUAUAUCAAUAUGACAGAAAUUCUAUCAGAUAUUGAGGGAUGCACAUUUCAGCCUAACUCUUCCUAACUCUGCAUUUAGUACUGAGACCUGUAGGUUCAAUCUGAACAGCAUCUGAGGUAAGUUAUUGAAGGAUGCGUAUUUACCAAGUAUUUUGCCACCACAUUACAUGAGCCUUAAUCUUUCCAUCCUCCAGUAUCAACUCCUGUGUAAUUUGCACCCCAAUGAUUAAGUCAGUAUUAUAACUGAGGUUUCAUUUAGCAAUACCAUAUUCAUUCUGGUUUCCAUAUUACUUAGAAAAACAUCAACUAUAGGAAUACGUAAACCUCAAAAUACGUAAACCUCAAAACAUCAGUGAAUUAAUAAAUUAGAACUUUAAUUCUUGCUCACAUUAAUUCAUAAAUGGGUAUUGAUAAUAAAUGAACUCUUCUCUUCCAAAUGACUCCUUUCAUCUUGAGCAUCAACCAUUUUUGAGACUUGUUUUCCAAAAUUUCCCCCAGGAUCAUUUUCCACUUAUCCAUCAGAGUGGGAAAAAAAGUAAAGACGAUUACAUGCAAAGACUCUAUGGACCUGGCUGAAGCAUGUCAUAUGUCACUUUUGCUAUCUUUAUAUUGACUAGAACUCAGUUCCAUAUCAGAUCUAGCUUCAGGAAUGCUGAGAAACAGAGAUUAUUAGUGUGCAUAAUUAGAGUAGAAUGCUGCACAUUCUCUACACCUUUAAGUGUGUAAAUACAGAGUCACACAUAGUUAUUCUGUUAUCUUCAAUUUUUUGACCAAUAUCUCAUCUGAUACACUCAAGCCAAUUCAAAUAGGCAUGGGUGGCAUAAAUACUGAAGAAAUGGAGCCUAAAGGCAUGAAGUGACUAGCAACAAAAUUAGCAGAAGCAGAAGUGCCUUGAUUGGGUUCAGAAACAUAUUUGAGGUGUUCUCUUAUCUCUUGUGGCAUAGCGCUUUAAGGAUCCCUCUUUUUCACUGCAGCAGCUUGAAUUGCUGCUGUGGUGCAAGUUAGGUCCCAGGCCUGGGAAAUGCCACUUGCCCCAGGCAGGAGGGAAAAAAACAAACAAACAAAAAACCCCCGCAGGAAACUCAUUUGGUUUAAGCUCUGCCUUGGUUUACUUCUCUCUCCUUCCUCCUCACCUAAGGAUGAAGUAUUGAAGUUUAGCCUAUCUCUAGACUUCAACAGCUAUGCUGGAAUGAUGGCUAUUGGGUAUUGUCUCAGAUCAAAAUUCCCCAACCUGGCUCUGAACUCUUCAAGACCCCUCUUCAAGCAGGAGAUGCUCUCAGCAUCCCCAAGCAGUGUGGGGAAAAAUCAGUAGGAAAGGAUAAUAUAAAUGUAACUCUUCUUCCAAAUCAUAAAUUUAAACAUUUUUGAAAAUGACCAUCCUAUCAUAAUCUAUAUUUUGCACUAAGAAGUUAUAUCCCUUUACCUGUCCCUUAUGACAUGAGUCCAAUGCCUGAUGGAAAGUAAAUACUGUCCUGAAUACCUUUGGAAAUUAUGGUGCAUAGAAAUUGAAUUUCCCAAAUGUGCUCCGAGAAGUAGAUUAGGAUUUCUCCCCAUCCUGAGAUAUGCAAGCUCCUUUACUUCUUUUACUCUCAUUAUAGUUGCCCAUGAAAAGCCAUCGCUCUUUCUCUUCAUGGGAUUAUUAUUAUUAUUUAAUAAUUAAACCCCUUUUCCAUUGUAUUUGCUACUGAAAUUGUCUCUUUAACACUAUCUCUGCACCAUCAUUCCCAAUAAAGAAUUCUAUUCUAACUCAGUUAAAUCAGCCUCUGCUAGGUUUGUAUUUGAAUCGCUGAUUCUCUGUCAUAAGUACUUCAAAUAAUUCCAGUUGCCACAGAUGUGAAUAUGCAUUUAAUAGUUCAUUGGUUUUUACCACUAUUAGUUAAUCAUAAUUUUAACUAAACAGUUCCCUCUUACUUAUAAAGUACAAGAAAAGAUUUUUUCUUGAUCUUUAGUAAUAUCAACAUAAGCAUAUUUGAUUAUGAAUAACAGUAUAUUUAAAGAUAGAGAUGACUUCCUGAUUUAAUGCUUGAUUCAAUUUCCUCUCUAGACCCAGGAGGGAGUUAUUUAAGAGAUCCCAAUUAGGAAUGAUUUGAAUUAAUUGGAGCAACAUAAUGUACACACUGCAUUGCAUUCCCAAUUAAGUUGGAAAGAGAUAGAAGAUAUUCUGCUGACAGCAUGUCUUUAUUGGACUAAUACUCAUUAUUUACGUAUCAUCAAUUCUUUAAUGUCAAGUAUUUUGUUUCUGAUGAACACAAAUAUGCAUUAUUAAGAAAUAAAAAUACCAAUAAAUAAUAGAUUGAUUUAGUAAAUAGGAAUGAGAUUUGAGCCUAUAGCAUAAAUUGAUGAAUUCUCAAAUACCCAAAGUUUCACCUUGAUGUGUUAAAUGAAUUUAAUGUCAAUACUAUGUAUGAAUUGACAGUCCCUCUGGAGCCCACUCUGACCAAAGAUAAAACCAAGUUUAUUGGACCUUAAUUGCUCUCUCUUUGAUACUGAAGUUAAAAUGUAUCAUGGAGCAUGUAGAGAUUCUUACUAUGUUUAGAAUAUUCAUAAAAUAAAACUAUUAUCACUUAAAAAUCUUUAAUACUGACAUUUUAGAAUAGUGGGUAGUUUUUAGUAAUAUAAUCAUUUAUUUUACAUUUUGAAAUAUUCAAACUUUUUAGUUUUACAAGAGUUUUAAAUUGUGUUUAGAAUCAUAUUUGCAAUAUAAUUUUUCCUCCGAUAUUUAAUGUCCUGCAAACAUAUGACUUGAAUUUGCAAUGCACAGACCUAAUUGUUUCAAAUCCCAGAUUUGCUAAAUUAUACCUAUGUGCCAUUGUAUAGGUCAUUUUAUCUGUGUGAUUCUCAUUUUGUUCAUGUGUAAAGUUAAUAUCGUUGUCCAAGUGAUAGUUGUUGGACAAGAGAUUCAGAAAGAGAGGGAGACAAAGGAGGAAGAAAGAGAGAGAAGGAAUUAUUGUUUUGUUUUAGAUCGAAAUGUAUUCAGGGGAUAUUCUUUGGGCAAAAGUAAAUCCCCAUAUAUUUGUUGUAGAACACUAAUAAGAUACUGCGGUGUUAAAGAACAAUUUUAAUCAAAUAAGUUAAUUUGGUAAUAUAUGCCUACUGCAUGUACAUAGAAUUAGACUAAUCCAUCUUCCACAUAACUUGACUGAAGUCAAUUCCAAGUUCUAGCUGAUAACUACAAAAUGUUAAUUCAAUGAAUUGAAAAACUCACUUUAAAAGAAAUCAAUUUGUGUUUUUUUUUCAAAAAUAUAUCUUGCAAGCCGAAUUAUUGGUUUCAUUGAUUCUUCCUAUCAAUUCACCUGUUGACCAAUGGUUGUCAGUUAAGACCAAAACUUAAUUGAAGCUGAGUACAAAGUCUUAUUUCUAAGAACAAAUGAAGCUAUUAUAAUUUCAUUACAAGUAGUUUUGUGAGGCAAGUACCCCAACUAAUGAAGUCUAAUUUCCCACAGAAUUUAAAAAAAAAAAAAAAAGCAAUAUCGCUGAUGUUAGGUAAAGAGAUUCUGAAUAUUGGAGUUACUGUUGUGGCUCAGAAGAAACGAAUCUGACUAGUAUCCAUGAGGACACAGGUUCGAUACCUGGCCUUGCUCAGUGGGUUAAGGAUCCAGCAUUGCCUUGAGCUGUGGUGCAGGUCACAGAUGCUGCGACAGUUCCCAUUUGACCUGUAGCCUGGGAACCUCCAUAUGCCAUCGAUGUGGAC
This 6688-nucleotide long non-coding RNA is filed under the name Sus scrofa (pig). Its description in RNAcentral is "lncRNA (ENSSSCG00000059935.1)". Lineage: Eukaryota; Metazoa; Chordata; Mammalia; Artiodactyla; Suidae. The record is from RNAcentral.